GACGAACGCUGGCGGCGUGCUUAACACAUGCAAGUCGAACGGAAAGGCCCUGCUUUUGUGGGGUGCUCGAGUGGCGAACGGGUGAGUAACACGCGUGUAACCUGCCCUUGACUUUGGGAUAACUUCAGGAAACUGGGGCUAAUACCGGAUAGGAGCUCCUGCUGCAUGGUGUGGGUUGGAAAGUUUCGGCGGUAGGGGAUGGACUCGCGGCUUAUCAGCUUGUUGGUGGGGUAGUGGCUUACCAAGGCUUUGACGGGUAGCCGGCCUGAGAGGGUGAACGGGCACCAUAGGACUGGGAGAGGGACCAGUCUCCUACGGGAGGCAGUAGUGGGGAAUAUUGCAGAAUGAGCGGAAGCCUGAUGCAGCAGCGCCGCGUGCGGGAUGACGGCCUUCGGGUUGUGAACCGAUUUCGCCGGUGCCGAAGCGAGAGUGACGGUAAUGGGUAAAGAAGCAACGGCUAACUACGUG
This 468-nucleotide ribosomal RNA is filed under the name uncultured bacterium. RNAcentral's name for it is "partial 16S ribosomal RNA". It matches the Rfam family "Bacterial small subunit ribosomal RNA", at positions 28 to 507 of the family's 1533-position model. The record is from RNAcentral.